RNAcentral lists this ribosomal RNA (253 nucleotides) under uncultured bacterium. RNAcentral's name for it is "partial 16S ribosomal RNA". It matches the Rfam family "Bacterial small subunit ribosomal RNA", at positions 524 to 776 of the family's 1533-position model. The record is from RNAcentral.
UACGUAGGGUGCGAGCGUUGUCCGGAAUUACUGGGCGUAAAGAGCUCGUAGGUGGUUUGUCGCGUUGUCCGUGAAAACUCACAGCUCAACUGUGGGCGUGCGGGCGAUACGGGCAGACUGGAGUACUGCAGGGGAGACUGGAAUUCCUGGUGUAGCGGUGGAAUGCGCAGAUAUCAGGAGGAACACCGGUGGCGAAGGCGGGUCUCUGGGCAAUAACUGACGCUGAGGAGCGAAAGCGUGGGGAGCGAACAGG